RNAcentral lists this ribosomal RNA (440 nucleotides) under uncultured bacterium. RNAcentral's name for it is "partial 16S ribosomal RNA". It matches the Rfam family "Bacterial small subunit ribosomal RNA", at positions 338 to 795 of the family's 1533-position model. The record is from RNAcentral.
CCUACGGGAGGCAGCAGUAGGGAAUAUUGCACAAUGGGGGAAACCCUGAUGCAGCAACGCCGCGUGGAGGAAGAAGGUUUUCGGAUUGUAAAGUCCUUUUGUUAGAGAAGAAAGUGACGGUAUCUAACGAAUAAGCACCGGCUAACUCCGUGCCAGCAGCCGCGGUAAUACGGAGGGUGCAAGCGUUACUCGGAAUCACUGGGCGUAAAGAGCGCGUAGGCGGGAUAGCAAGUCAGAUGUGAAAGCCGAUGGCUUAACCAUGGGACUGCAUUUGAAACUGUUAUGCUAGAGUACGGGAGAGGUAAGUGGAAUUCUUGGUGUAGGGGUGAAAUCCGUAGAGAUCAGGAGGAAUACUCGUGGCGAAGGCGGCCUGCUGGAACAUAACUGACGCUGAGGCGCGAAAGCGUGGGGAGCAAACAGGAUUAGAUACCCGAGUAGUC